AGCAGCCGCGGUAAUUCCAGCUCCAAUAGCGUAUAUUAAAGUUGUUGCAGUUAAAAAGCUCGUAGUUGAAUUUCGGGGUUAGUAGGUUGGUCAUGCCUCUGGUAUGUACUGGUCUCACUGAUUCCUCCUUCCUGAUGAACCUUAAUGCCAUUAAUUUGGUGUAUUGGGGAAUUUGGACUGUUACUUUGAAAAAAUUAGAGUGUUUAAAGCAAGCUAACGCUUGAAUACACUAGCAUGGAAUAAUGAAAUAGGACGUUCGAUCCUAUUUUGUUGGUUUCUAGGAUUGACGUAAUGAUUAAUAGGGAUAGUUGGGGGCAUUAGUAUUCAAUUGUCAGAGGUGAAAUUCUUGGAUUUAUUGAAGACUAACUACUGCGAAAGCAUUUGCCAAGGAUGUUUUCUAUUAAUCAAGAACGAAAGUUAGGGGGAUCGAAGACGAUCAGAUACCGUCGUAGUCUUAACCAUAAACUAUGCCGACCUAGGGAUCGGAUGAUGUUAAUUUUUUAAUGACUCAUUCGGCGCC
Molecule: ribosomal RNA, 520 nt
Filed under: uncultured Glomus
Lineage: Eukaryota; Fungi; Glomeromycota; Glomeromycetes; Glomerales; Glomeraceae
Description: SSU rRNA
Rfam family: Eukaryotic small subunit ribosomal RNA
Source: RNAcentral